GGUGCCAUCGUCUAGUGGUCUAGGACACUGGCCUCUCACGCCGGCAACGAGGGUUCGAGUCCCUCUGGCACUA
Non-coding RNA from Fibrobacter sp., 73 nucleotides. The record is from Rfam. Lineage: Bacteria; Pseudomonadati; Fibrobacterota; Fibrobacteria; Fibrobacterales; Fibrobacteraceae.